Molecule: long non-coding RNA, 940 nt
Organism: Haemorhous mexicanus (house finch)
Lineage: Eukaryota; Metazoa; Chordata; Aves; Passeriformes; Fringillidae
Exons: 3
Source: RefSeq, a predicted model, not a curated record
GGGAUCCGUCCGCGCUCGCUGUCCCCGUGUAGUUCUCGAGUCGUCUGUCCUCGGCGGCGGUCCGCGGGUGACAUGCAGUCCCUCAUCUCUCCGGUGACCAAGGCUAUCCUGGUGGCUUUGUUCAUCUUCGCCAUCCUGCUGAUCCUCUACGUGAUUCUGUGGUACAUCUGCCGCGAUGUGGAUUGCGACCAUGGGAUCUGAGCGGCGCCGCGGGGCCAGGGCUUAGGAGCCGGGAUUCACCCCGCGGGGCCGGGAACGGCAGCGGGAGCCCCUCCGGGCGGCAGACGCUGCCACCGCGGCCGAGCAGGGGAAGAGAAGGGGAAGGAAAGACAAGAAGAAAAAAAGAAAAAUAAAGAGAGAGAAGGACCGAGCCGAAAGAGCCCGGAGGACAACUGCGAUCAAGAAACCAACCUGAGCUUGACCUUCAGAGACCAGGGUGACCCGAGAGAAAGUGAUGCAGUAGGGUACCCACUGCUGUAUUGAAGUCUGGGAGCAGGGAAGAUGCAUGGAAGAAAUGGAGAAGACUGUUGGGAGGCAAAAGAACAUUGCACAGAGAGAGCUGUUUCAAGGAAGCAGCAAAUCUAGAGAUUCAGAGUGCACCUUAACAGCAUGCAGGAGUGCUAGGAUACAGUGGAUAUUUUUGCCCCCGACAAAGGAGGAAUGAUGAGGAGGACUCCAUCUUACCAGAAGGGUUUUCAGCUGUAUGAAGCAAGCAUUGGUGGAGUCCAGAAACUGCAUCUGUAAACUCAGUCUCAUGACACUUGGGCAGCUUGUGUACCAGCAACUGAAGCUCUCCAUUGUGGGUAUUUUGUAUUUGAUGACUCUUCUUUAUCUAGCAACAUCCUGUACUUGAUCAUGUUUUUUAGUUCCAGAAGUGCAUAGCAAUAGCUGUAAAAUCUAAUUUAAUUAUGGCUAGUAUCUAUAAAUACUAUCCAUAUAU